Molecule: long non-coding RNA, 2970 nt
Organism: Passer domesticus (house sparrow)
Lineage: Eukaryota; Metazoa; Chordata; Aves; Passeriformes; Passeridae
Exons: 3
Source: RefSeq, a predicted model, not a curated record
UGAUUCCAUGUAAAAUACAGCACUAAUCCUGACCCACAUUCAGGUGCUGCUCUCUCCUGCAGCUGCUCUGCUCAAGACAGGUCAGUUCCAAAGAUAUAAAUUGAAUGCUGAGAGGGAAAAGCAGUGCUAUUUCUGCAUUGUCUUUAGCAGGAAACAUGCUUGGAGUUAAUGGACCUGAAAUGUUUAGGGUUUUAUAUGUCAAAACCAACACUGGUCAGAGACAGUGCAUACGAAGGUAAUGUGCUCCUUUACAAGAGGGAAUGAGCAAGCAAGCAGCCAGGCAGGGUGCUAGUCAAACUUUCUGGUUCAUGUGAGUAUUUAUUGUGAUUAUAAUUGUGUUUCCUGUAGGGAAAGCUGUAAGGUGGACUCAGAGGAAACUUCUGCUACCUUGCAGCAUGCUGUUCCUCUAGGCUCAGGUUACAGGUUGAGGCUUUUGUGUACUCACAGACAUGCAAGAGGUUGGAGUCUUCUGUCUUGGCUUCUCUGCAAAGACUCUGGGAACAAGAAGUGACCUGUGAAGAGGCCUUUCCCCUCCUCACUGCUCCACCAGGGAGCCUAGAAUGAAGAAGUUCUUGGUCUGGCCAGCUUUCUCUGGCAGUGGGAGAAGGCAGCUGCCUCCUCUCCUACAUGAGACCCCAGUGGCAUCCCUACAGUCCUUCAUAAAAGUGGACCUACAAAAGCAGCUGGUGACUCACGUUGCAGCCCAAAGCCCCCGUUGCAUGCCACUGGGAAAAAAGGCAGCUAAAACCCUUUGGGUGAGAGUCUCCUCCCACAAAAUGAGCCCCAAGGGGCCACACGUUUCUUGGAGGCUAUUAAAUGUCCCUUUGCACGUGGCUCCUCACUGAGCAUGGAAGGGCCCUGCUCCUGCUGGUGUAAAGCCUUCCCAGUACACCUCCACCACAGCAGCUAUAAAUAGGCUGGGGGAUAAGACAAAGGGAAGCAUUCUUAAAAUGGAGGAUACCACAGGUCCUGUUUGCAGGAGCAGGAACUCUAUAGGGAAGUUUUAAAGCUGUUGAUUUGGCUGACACUGUAGGUCUUAGCUGUCAGUGAGGAUCUUUUCCCUUUUUUGCUGUACUAAAGCAGGGAGGGUGCUGUCUGUUCUUCCACCUAAAACCCACGUGAAUUUAAGGUGAUGGGUGUCUGCUGUGAAGAGAAGUUUGUGUAUCUUCUGUUUUCUGCUAGCUGCAGAGCAGCGGGGUUGUGCUGAGCCUGACAGCCCCUUUUGUGAACCACUGCCUGGCAGUACAGAUGCUCCCUUAUUUAAAUAAAAGCAGCCAGGGGGCUUGUGUGGUGUCUGCAUGCAGACCCUGCUGUGUUUCACAACUACAGGCCUUUGGGUGCUACUGCAAUCUGGAGAAGUAAAAAUAAGGAAGGAGGGAGCGAGCCUCAGGAAGCCAAAUCAAAUGGCGGUAGCAGCAUCUCAGGAAGCUCGCCCAAGGUGGUGGGGUGCAGGGCAGGUGAAGAAGAUCAGAAGAGUAGGAAAUCAGGGAAACAGAUGUGGCGAUGCCAGGCUUUGGGGAGGGAGCUCCUGAGAUGCAAGGCCAGCAUUCCCAUGCUUUUCCAUCUGGCAGUGAAGGAAAUUAUGUAAAGUGCAGGGGCCCUUUCUUAUAUUUUUUUUUCUUCCAAUUCUUUUCUCCCUUCACUUCCCAUGAUGCAAUUAAGGAGCCAUUGCUGACAUCAUCACGUAUGCAUGCUGAAUGCAGGCAUUGUGUCCCGGCUGCAGUGCUGUACUAUAUAUAGAUUAGUUGCCAAUCUCUGCUAUGUAUCAGCAGGGAAGACACCCAAGGAAUUAAGAGAGCAGUUGCACUAUAGGACUUCUGGCUUUUGUCCCAUGGCCUCAAGACACAGUGGAACUAGAAAUAAUCAAAGGGGACACCCCAGGCAGCUGACAGCAGGGUCUGAUGAGUGCUCGAGCAGAGGAGGUGAUGGGAUGGGGAGCUGCAGCACGAGGAGGUCGGGGGUCCUUGGAGGCAGAUCUCACGCCGAGCAUUGAUCGUCAGAUCAAACACAGACCUGGCUGAAGCUGGCGGAUAUACAAAGCAGCCUUCAAGUAUGAUAAAAGCAGCAAGUGAAGAUCUCUGUGCAGAGUGAGAGCUGCUGUAGAAGCCACCAUGCUCAGCACUUCAGCGAGCAUUGUGCAGCCUGGAAAAUGCAGCCUAAAUGCUCCUUCUGGGGGACAAUACAAAACAAUUAAAGCAAAUAACUGCAAUUAAAAUUGCAGAACUUCUGCAGUUAGACCAAUAAAUACUCUAUGGUGUUACAGCCUAUUUUCAAACAAUUGAAAAACUCACUAUAUUGGAUUCGUCAGGUUGAAGAACUACAGUUAGUCCUCUGAAGUGUUUCCAUUUCUGCUGGUACUCCUUAAUCCUUUCAACUGCAUGUAUAUUGCAGAGUUGAAUGAGAGGCACAAAUUUGGACAUGAGAAUCUGGUCCAAUUCAGGCCUUUCUAGUGUGGCUAUUUCAAUAGUGAAAACAAAGGCAGUAUCAGAGCUGUUGGGGAAUACUGUGUCUUUUCUGGAAGUAUGAGGGAAUUCUUUAUAUUUCCUGGAUGCAAACAGUAUUUCUACCUGGUAAUGCUGGAUCACUUUUCACUCAUUUUCUUUUAAACCCCAGACAUGAAAAAACUCUAUUUUUUAAACUGAUUUUAUAUCUUUCCUUGAUGUAGCUAUAUGCAGGACCAUAAAAGUUUUCACCUAACUGGCUAAUUAUAUUUUGUUUGCAAGAGAGAAAGGUUUUAAACUUAAUAAUAUUAAACAUAAUAUUAAACAGCUCCCAAAGAUACUUUGAAUAUUGACCAAAGGCAUGACAUGGGGAUGAUUGGCUCCAUGGCUGUCAAAACAAAACUUCCAGAACUCCACUAGGAAUCUGGGCAUCUCAGGGUCCCUGGCAGCAGGAGCUGAGGGCUGAGGCAGCAUCUACACUGCCUCGAUUGCCCUUGGGCACCCCACCACGCUGGCCCUGGCAGGUAGC